AUUUUGGUGGCUGAGCGAAAUAUAGGCGCCGGAUUGUAAAUCCGGAGACGGUUUUACGACCCCGGGGUU
This 69-nucleotide transfer RNA is filed under the name Ovatella vulcani. Its description in RNAcentral is "tRNA-Tyr". The record is from RNAcentral. Lineage: Eukaryota; Metazoa; Mollusca; Gastropoda; Ellobiida; Ellobiidae.